This 232-nucleotide long non-coding RNA is filed under the name Ananas comosus (pineapple). RNAcentral's name for it is "long non-coding RNA (ACOM_LNC038611)". Lineage: Eukaryota; Viridiplantae; Streptophyta; Magnoliopsida; Poales; Bromeliaceae. The record is from RNAcentral.
GAACACUAGAGUUAGUGUAAGUCAAGAUUGAACUUAUAAUCCUUUGAGUUAAGGAUUCGAUCAUACUUGCUAUGAGUUCCGUGCUCGAGGGCGGUCGCUCCCCCUCGGGCGAUGCGCUCUGGAGUUAUGCAUCACGGGUUGGAGUAAACCCGAAGGACGGUCCUAGCGGGUGAGUUCCUGCGAUGAUGGACUUAAUGUGAAGCAAGUUAACGUGGCGAAACCUCCGGGUUAG